CGAGAUUUUUCAACUCUGUAUCUGAUCAACUGCUUCUCUAUAUAGGUCAGUGAGGCCAUCCAUAGAAGCUCAGUCGGGUAACACAGAGAAACCCACUACCCAAAAUGCACAAGAGUAAGAUCGCUAGAGCUGAGAAGAAAAAAAACAGCACAAGGCAGAAGCAAAUCGAGAGGAAGAACCGAAGAAGAAAGGGCCGGUUCAGGAGAAGGAAGAAUUGGCUAAGCUAAAAUUUCGGCUGUAGGCAAAUUGAAAACAGCCGAGUGGCCAUUAACAGAACCGUUUUUUCAUUGUUUC
This 294-nucleotide long non-coding RNA is filed under the name Brachypodium distachyon (stiff brome). RNAcentral describes it as "long non-coding RNA (BDIS_LNC001609)". Lineage: Eukaryota; Viridiplantae; Streptophyta; Magnoliopsida; Poales; Poaceae. The record is from RNAcentral.